RNAcentral lists this transfer RNA (69 nucleotides) under Nitrosomonas ureae. RNAcentral describes it as "tRNA_Thr_CGT". It matches the Rfam family "tRNA". From Rfam's summary of the family: Transfer RNA (tRNA) molecules are approximately 80 nucleotides in length. Their secondary structure includes four short double-helical elements and three loops (D, anti-codon, and T loops). Lineage: Bacteria; Pseudomonadati; Pseudomonadota; Betaproteobacteria; Nitrosomonadales; Nitrosomonadaceae. The record is from RNAcentral.
GUGUUGUAAUUUAUUGAUUAGAAUGGAUUCGUAAUCAGUAGGUCGGAGGUUCGACUCCUCUCAACAGCA